GCAGUCGAGCGCACCCUUCGGGGUGAGUGGCAGACGGGUGAGUAACGCGUGGGAACCUACCUAUCGGUUCGGAAUAACGUUCGGAAACGGACGCUAAUACCGGAUACGCCCUUCGGGAGAAAGAUUUAUCGCCGAUUGAUGGGCCCGCGUUGGAUUAGCUAGUUGGUGAGGUAACGGCUCACCAAGGCGACGAUCCAUAGCUGGUCUAAGAGGAUGAUCAGCCACACUGGGACUGAGACACGGGCCAGACUCCUACGGGAGGCAGCAGUGGGGAAUAUUGGACAAUGGGCGAAAGCCUGAUCCAGCCAUGCCGCGUGAGUGAUGACGGCCUUAGGGUUGUAAAGCUCUUUCGCUAGGGAAGAUAAUGACGGUACCUAGUAAAGAAGCCCCGGCUAACUUCGUGCCAGCAGCCGCGGUAAUACGAAGGGCGCUAGCGUUGUUCGGAAUUACUGGGCGUAAAGCGCGCGUAGGCGGAUCAUUAAGUCAGGGGUGAAAUCCCGGGGCUCAACCUCGGAAUUGCCUCUGAUACUGGUGGUCUUGAGUCCGUGAGAGGUGAGUGGAACUCCGAGUGUAGAGGUGAAAUUCGUAGAUAUUCGGAAGAACACCAGUGGCGGAAGGCGGCUCACUGGCACGGUACUGACGCUGAGGUGCCAAAGCGUGGGUAGCAAACAGGAUUAGAUACCCUGGUAGUCCACGCCGUAAACGAUGAUACCUAGCCGUCGGGGUGCAUGCAUCUCGGUGGCGC
Molecule: ribosomal RNA, 745 nt
Filed under: Acuticoccus yangtzensis
Lineage: Bacteria; Pseudomonadati; Pseudomonadota; Alphaproteobacteria; Hyphomicrobiales; Amorphaceae
Description: bacterial SSU rRNA
Rfam family: Bacterial small subunit ribosomal RNA
Source: RNAcentral